RNAcentral lists this ribosomal RNA (323 nucleotides) under Campylobacter jejuni. Its description in RNAcentral is "partial 23S ribosomal RNA". It matches the Rfam family "Bacterial large subunit ribosomal RNA", at positions 232 to 559 of the family's 2925-position model. Lineage: Bacteria; Pseudomonadati; Campylobacterota; Epsilonproteobacteria; Campylobacterales; Campylobacteraceae. The record is from RNAcentral.
AGAUUGCGUCAGUAGCGGCGAGCGAAAGCGCAAGAGGGCAAACCCAGUGCUUGCACUGGGGGUUGUAGGACUGCAAUGUGCAAGAGCUGAGUUUAGCAGAACAUUCUGGAAAGUAUAGCCAUAGAGGGUGAUAGUCCCGUAUGCGAAAAACAAAGCUUAGCUAGCAGUAUCCUGAGUAGGGCGGGACACGAGGAAUCCUGUCUGAAUCCGGGUCGACCACGAUCCAACCCUAAAUACUAAUACCAGAUCGAUAGUGCACAAGUACCGUGAGGGAAAGGUGAAAAGAACUGAGGUGAUCAGAGUGAAAUAGAACCUGAAACCAU